UACUUCAGCGACAAUAAUUAUUGCUGUUCCAACAGGAAUUAAAGUUUUUCGAUGAUUAUGCAA
Molecule: long non-coding RNA, 63 nt
Filed under: Apis florea (little honeybee)
Lineage: Eukaryota; Metazoa; Arthropoda; Insecta; Hymenoptera; Apidae
Description: uncharacterized LOC116415115
Source: RNAcentral